UUUUUUUUUUUUGUGAACACGCUCACACUCCAGCUGUCCGUCUCCAAACUCCCUCACUUCUCACACUAAGGAGGCAGAACAAGGCAACAAGGCAGGAGAAGGGCCAGAGAGGAGCAACAGAGAGCAAAAGAGGCCGGAAGAGAAGAGGAGUGUAAAGGAAGAGCCAGAGACACACUCUAAAAGCGGAAUCCAAGGCCACCACCACCACCACCAGAAGAAAGUUCUUAAAAAAAAUAAAAGUGACCUAUUCCGCAGUGUGAUUUCAAACCUUGGGUUAAAGCCUUUGCUCUCAUCCUUACCUGAGACCCUGCAGCGUGUUCCAGUGUGUAUCUGUGUGUGUUUGUGUUUGCCACACUACUUUUACGGUUUCUCUAAUCUGCAAAGAGGCAGGUGAAAGUGUCUCUGUGUGAAGAUGUGGUCCGUGUGUGUUUCAUUUGUAUGUGUGUACGUUUCUGUGCUCCUCCACCAAGCUAUUUCACAGCCGCCCACAGAAAGUGACACCUACACGGAAUGCACAGAUGGCUAUCACUGGGAUCCACAAACUCAACACUGCAAAGACAUAAAUGAAUGUGAAACAAUCCCAGAGGCGUGUAAGGGUGAGAUGAAGUGCUUCAACCAUUAUGGUGGCUACUUGUGUCUCCCGCGCUCUGCCUCAGUAAUCCCUGCCCCUGAUCCACCCAACCAAAUCCCUGCUGGUGUGGGAAACACCUCAAGCGAGCCCUACAACCCCUGUCCCAGCGGCUAUGAGGCUCAUGGAGACAGCUGCGUGGAUAUGGAUGAGUGUGAACGGGAUGAACAUGACUGCCAGCCCAGUCAGGAGUGCAUCAAUACAGAGGGCUCAUUUACUUGCCAGUGUCCGAAUGGAUACCGCAAAGUGGGAACGGAGUGCAUCGACAUUGAUGAGUGUCGGUACCGGUACUGCCAGCACCGCUGCGUUAACGUGCCCGGUUCUUUCUCCUGCCAGUGCGAGCCUGGCUUCCAGCUGGCAGGCAACAAUCGGUCCUGCAUUGACGUGGACGAGUGCAACAUGGGCGCCCCCUGUAGUCAGAGGUGUUAUAACACCUAUGGCACUUUCCUUUGCCGCUGUGAGCAGGGUUACGAGCUGGGGCCAGACGGAUUCACCUGCAAAGACAUAGACGAGUGCAGUUUCUCUAGUUACCUUUGUCAGCACCAGUGUGUAAACGAGCCUGGCAAAUUCUCGUGUGUCUGCCCAGAAGGCUACCAGCUCCUUGGGACUCGUCUCUGCCAAGAUAUAAAUGAGUGUGAGACAGGAGCGCACCAGUGCACUGAUAGCCAGACGUGUGUGAACGUUCAUGGCGGUCAUCGCUGCGUUGACACGAACCGCUGUCAGGAGCCCUACGUUCAAGUAUCAAACAAUCGCUGUGUGUGUCCUGUCUCUAAACCUGGCUGCCGAGACUUACCCUUCACCAUUGUGCACCGUUAUAUGAGCAUCACCUCAGAACGGUCCGUACCCUCUGACAUUUUCCAGAUCCAGGCCACAAGCGUCUACCCUGGAGCCUACAACACCUUCCGCAUCCGCUCUGGAGAUGACAAUGGAGACUUCUACAUCAGGCAAAUCAACAAUAUCAGUGCCAUGUUGGUGCUAGCCCGUGCUGUGACUGGACCCAAAGAGUAUGUUCUGGACUUGGAGAUGGUUUCGGUCAACCCCCUCAUGAGCUACCAGACAAGUUCAGCUCUCCGCUUAUCAGUCUAUGUGGGGCCUCAUACUUUCUAAAUCAGAGUUACAGUUAGAGCAGGGAGGGGGAGAAGGGCUAGCAAAUAAAAAGCGGCAGAGGUGUGAAGUACGGACGACAAAUCCAUUGAGGAUGAGGAGGAGUUGAGUUGGAGAUACUGGUAUAAAUAGCAGAACAUCUCCCCAAGUUUGCUGGAAGAGCAAUACCAAGCUAUCUCAUAAGAAAUCAAAACAAACUAUACAACUACUACUUCACAAGUGAUGCUGGUCUUACAGACAGACUCCAAGGAUGCUACUCAAACUUUACACAGGUGAGGAUGAUGACAAGAUCACCAUUUUACUUUCAUAUGCAUGUAGUAGAGACAAAGAAAGACAGAAAAUUGAUGUACUUGCUUUUAUUCAGUGUGUCAAGAUGUCUUCAGUGCCUCUCAGUCACUGUAGUCGAUUUUCUUUCAAGGAUGAUGAAUUGAGGUUCAGGAGCUGGUGAAUUUAGAGCUACAGUUCAUAGUUUGCUUGAAAAAAAAAUGUUUAGUCAGAGGAGAAAUAAAUAUUCUGUAAUGUCAAAUGUCCUCAUACCCUGACAUGAGGCAUGAAAGAAAUAAACAAACCAGACAAUCAAAAAGCAAGAAGCGAUUUUAAAAAUGUAAUUUGGUGGGAAACUAAAGAAUGAUAUUCAUCUAAUUGAUCCUUGUUGUGUAAUUUGCAUCACUACCAGUUGAGAAUUUGUUGAUCUAGAAAACUGAGGUUAGCUGGCUACCUACUGAAUACCAAAACAUCCAAAAGAUAAAUUUUUCCAAUGUUCAAAAGAUUUCCACUGAAUAGCCAAAAUGAAUGUGUUUAUAACACCUUUUUAAAAAGUUGGAUCUCACCUGAAUGUCUUGACAAGGUUUACUAUAGG
Neoarius graeffei (lesser salmon catfish) is the source of this 2591-nucleotide RNA transcript. It is a transcript of the gene named EGF containing fibulin extracellular matrix protein 2a, with no coding region annotated. NCBI's taxonomy places the organism in Eukaryota, Metazoa, Chordata, Actinopteri, Siluriformes, Ariidae. The transcript has 12 exons. The record is from RefSeq and is a predicted model, not a curated record.